AUUAGCUAACCAAUUAAACCCAUAACCAUCAAAACAUUCCUUUAUGUUUAAAUUAGCCAAUUAAUCAUAAUAAAUUGGCUAAUUAAACCUAAACUAAACCCAAAAACCGUAGUGAUGGCCGGCCACAUCCUAUCCCUAUAAAAGUGAUCCCAUUCUCACCAAAAAGCCAUUCCAACACUUUGGCGAAAAUCCCAAAAUUCUCUAAACACUAUUUCUCUCUAAAUUCUAACUUUGGCAUCGGAGGUUCUUCGGCCAAAGCCCCUCCCAUUCAUCGUGGGCGCGUGAGGCUCUUGGCCUUAACCUAAGGUGUUAAUUGUUUUGUAGGUGCAAAAUUGUCCAAGAUCAAGGAGGAAGAAAUUUGCAUCCACAAAUUGGUGUUUUCAUUGAGAGUUGAGAUCCAUACUCGUAGAAGACUCUCGCAUAAAAGGUUUUUUCUCUAUUUUCUAGUCCAUUUGAAUAUUUUUCAUACGUUCUUAUUGUUAGAAUUUUUUAUUUGCAAAGGUUCUUUGAUAAAACGUGUAAGAAAAAUAUAAUGGCUAGAAAUUUAGAAAAUUCCACAAGUGAAAAUUCUAAUACUCAAGAAAUGGGACCACGAGGAUCCAGGACGCUAAAUGUGGUCAUAUGCGGAGUGGUACCACCACUACGAGGUUCCACCAUGGCCCAAGCCGUGCCAUCCAAGCUUGCACGGGUCCGAGCCCAAGCCUCGCAUUCGUAUGCAUCACGCUCUGAGCAGCCCACUUUUGUGGCCCAACCUGCUUUCAUGGCCUAACCUGCUCUCGCAGCCCAGCCUACUCCCAUCGAGAAGCCUGCUUUCGUGGCCCAGCCUGCUCCCGACGAGCAGCCCACUCUCAUGGUUCAGCCUGCUCGCGCCGAGCAGCCAAUUCUCGCGGCCUAGCCUGUUCUCAUGGCCCAGCCUGCUCUCGUGGCUUUCCAAGCAGCCCAAGUCGGCCCAAGACUAUCUCAACCAUCCGAACCUACCAUCGAGCCGGGGGAAUUCUCACCACAUUUUUUCUUAGAUUUGACAUUUUCAAACUCAAAUCUCGCGCCCGGAGUCUACCGCCAUUCCACUGUCCAAGGAGGCACAUUCAUUCCAAGCUCUUCCAAUCCAAAUGGCGAACAACACUUGUCUCGAAAAGUCAUAGAGUUGACGAGCGCCCUUACACAGCAGAUAACCUUGGUGAAUCAACUUUUGCAACGCACCGGGAUCCAACGUGCCCCGGACGAGGUAUCCCGAAGUAGGACAAGGGCAGACGAACCUUUCUAGCAAUGUCCCGGCUAGUAACCACUAAACCAACCAUGAGCCGAGCGUUCAGGCAAUGUACCUUCCCGAUUGGGCCCCCGAGAUAACAUAUACUCCUGUCUUAGCACACAGAGGAGCGUGCACUCUCGACUAGGCACAUGGAUGAGCAUGCAUUAACGGUUGGGGUUAUACUCCGAUAGUCAACAUGAGCAACCUUCCGGGCAAAGUGUUCAUUCACGGCUAAGCCAGCAAGGAGCACCAUCCACCUCAUAUCGGAGUAGGUAGCACGACGAUCGAAGAGAAGCAGUCACUCAAUCCAGCUCAAGUUCAACUAGCAACCUGCGAAGAACUCGCUCGCCUGCUAGGAACACACCACAUGCACUGCAUCUGCGGCAUAGAUGAGCCAAACACAUGGAAGAGUAGCUUAGACCAGCAAGUCAUGGCUAGGGGCAGCCGAGAGUUCCGCUACCCCCAACAAAGGCAAAUUCAGGAAGAAGUAGAGAGACUUUUGACCAAGCGAUUGCACGAUUUCCAACGUAAUGAGGUCACUGACGAGGCAUUACGACGGAACAUGACCAACAUAAGUAGGUCACCAUUCACAGAUGAGAUCGAGCAGGCAGAGCCUCCACGUGAGUUCAGCAUACCACAUUUCACAUAUUUCAAAUGGGAUGAAGACCCGAAGAGACACUUAAUGCACUAUCGAAGCGUAAUGAUCCUUUAUUGAAACAACGAUGACCUCAUGUGCAAGAUAUUCGCCACCACUCUACAAGGCGAGGCGCAAGAUUGGUUUUACACCCUGCCGCCACAAUCCAUCCGGAAUUUCUACGAACUUUCUUUGGUUUUCACCAAAGAAUAUUCAUCUUAUCGCUCGAUCAAAAAGAAGUCCGACCAUUUGUUUGACAUUAAGAAGAACCCAAAUGAGUCACUUCGUGACUAUGUGAGGAGAUUCAAAGCAAAGAAGGCAAGGGUAGUCAAAGGCAACGACUCGAUAACUAAAGCAACCUUCCAAAAAGGCCUUCCAGCAAACCACCCGCUAUUCAAAAAAUUAAUCAUGAAAGAAUAUCUAACUCUGGCUGACUCUUUGGCUUUGGCAGAGAAGCAUGCACUUUGGGAUGAGGCUCGCCAAUGCACAUUCAAGGACUUGAAGUAGUACCCAACAUCACCUUCCUAGAAGUAGCGGAGGACUUAUUUGCAUGUUUGACAGUAUUUAAAGUAUCAAUAAGCUCUACCAUCAUGCGAGAAGAACUGAGGGCCCAACUACCUGUAUUUUACAGUUCAAAAACUUUCCUCGAUGUUAUUAAAAAUUCAAAAGCUAACUUUGGCGAUAGUUGUUGUAACCCAAAAUCUUAAGUUUUACCUUCAAACGUACGCAUUCAUCAUCAUGACGUACUAUUCUGUCGAAUCCAAACCCACGACGAUAAAGGCGUAGACCAUGGCAGAUGCAAAGUUUUUUUACGAACGCAACAACUCGGCCCAAAAGACACGCUAAGGGUAGACGAACACACUUAGAAGCAAGUUUUAUCCUUGUCGCCCUAGAAGAUUCUACGUAAGAGCAAUAUGUACUGGCAGUCAAGCACUACCUCCUGCUGCACGUCACACAGCCCUAGCCGACCCUUGCUUCAUUAUUCAACUCUAGAAUGGCCUAAUAACGAAAGUUGAACAUCUUCUACUACAUGUAACAUGGCCCCAGCUCCACGGCUCCCUACCACGCCUUCAAGCCUAGCUUUGACAACACAACAGAGCGGCCCAACGACGCCCCGAAGGUAACCGAAAGAAGAUGGCCACAAGCUUAAAUCUGGCAGAGGAGAAGUGCGAGCAGAUUAUCACCCGCAUCGCAACUUACCAGCAGCAGCUCCUCUCCAGCUACAACAAAAUGGCUAAGAUCAGGUAGUUCUAGCCUGAAAAUCUAGUCUUAAGAAAAGCCUUCAUCACUGCCCGAGGAGAAGGAUCCAAAAAGAUGAAUCCCAUAUGGGAAGGUUCGUACAAGAUCAACAGAGUAGGCAACAAGAGUAAUUACACCCUCGCCACCAUGAAACGAUACAAAGAUAAAAAAACAGUAGAACGCCUACAAUAUGAUGAAGUACCAUGUGUGAUCUCUUGCUACAUCAAAGCCUGAAAACUCAAGCAGCUCGACGGGCACUACCUCACAAGCCGAUGACUAUCUAGUUGUUAUGCAGUUCCUACCUUACAGCUCAGUUCUCGUUCGUUUUACUCAUUUUUCAAUGAGGAAUUCAGAAGUAAUCACAACUUGGUUCAAUUGUAUGCUUACAACAACUGAUCAAUCCUGCACUUCAAAAAAAGACUGCGCCAUUCUUAGGGAAUCAUCGCAGGAAUUGCGCCCCCCAAGGGACCAACCAUGCUCUCUAGUGCGAGAGGGUAAACUAAUUGCUCUUCAGUGCGAGAGGGUAAACCAAUUCCCCGACACCCACAUGGGUCAGCUCUCUAAGACGGGAGGAUAAACUUUACACUCCGAAUAUCUAGACGUGGAUGAGUCUGGUUGCCCUAUUAUAACUAGAUGCACGAUGGCUUGCGCCGAGAUUCCUAGAAGUAGCCACAAUGGUCUUUUUCAAGGCUUAGCUAACUGAAGGAUUUUGGGUCUCUUGGCCUAAUCUGUAGAGAACCGGGCCCUAGAGACGGAGGGGGCACAUUACGCAGUACGCCCUACAAACGGUUACCCUGGAACCCUAAAGCUUGCUACGCAACCUACGGAAUUGGAGAAAGCCAAGGUUAACAGCCUAGUGGUUACGCGGACUUGUUUGCUUCUGUAAGUAAGGCAUCCAGUUGCCAACCCUAUGGCUAACAACUUUGCAAAGUUCCACACCAACACCUACGGCUACAUAGGUUACGCGAGCUUGUCUACUUAUAAAAAAAGUAGCAUGCUUGCCACUGGUCUAUCAAGUCUAAAGGUUAGGGCAUGAACAAAAGAAGCGAAGAUGAAGAAAAGCGAAGGAAAACAUGUUUAUAAACAAUUAGCAAAGACCGAAGGAAUUCAAGCAAAACAAGAGCUAAAGAAAAAAUAAAUAAAAUCCUAAAGACUACCUAGAAGACUACGGCAGCUUAAACAUCCCACAACUACUCGGUCGCCAUACCUUCAGCAGCCAUAACGCUCUUAGCAGCGGCAUCAUCUGACGCUUCACCCCCGGUUGCCCCAGCCUGGGCACCAACUUCUUCAACUACUUCACCAUUAAAAGCCUCAAAAGUAAAAGCAAGCAAGUCUUCAGAAGAAAUAUAGAAGGUCUCGAAACCUCAAGCCCAUCAUUCUCACCCUUCAGCUGCUCAUUAUUCUCAAGCAGACUAACACGGAUGCGCUGCAGCUCAUCCACUUUUUUUUUUUCAAACUUUCAUUAAUCUUCAGUACAUCUUGAAGUUCCAACACUUGGGGUUCAAGUCUAUCGACGAUUCUCUUGAAGUGGAUCACUUGAUUAUAAGCAGCAAUCAACUCUUCAUCAUUUGCAUAAGCAGUGAAACGAGCUCAUAAUCCAACUUCUUAAUCUUCUUAGCCGAGGAAUAAGCCUCGGCUACCAUAGUCUUCGCCACCUCCUUGGCAGCCUUGCUACAUCUACAUCAUAGCAAGCAGAGUAGUCAUUAUAUAUUGGGUCAUAUGUUUUGCAAAGAAACUUGGGCAAACAACCUUUCUAACACCAUUAACAAAUUUGGAACAAGCAUCCAUGUCUUCAAGCAUAUCUGCUCUUAAAAGCAAAUGGGUCUCAGCAGCUUCCCCAAAAGCAGGCUUAGUAGAUUUCUCACAGCUGCCCACUCGAGUAGUCUCCUCUUUCCCAGCAGGUGAGUCAGACUUUGUAACAGAUAGAGUACGCCUUAGCGCCACUUUAGCAACAGAGUCUACCUUAUCACUUUUCAUAAUAGCAAGCAUCUCCAAAGGUGAACCAGACUUAGCUCCUAACAGACGUCUUGGUACAGACUUCGGCACUGGGGGCACGACAUGACCUCUAUGCUGAGCAACCCUAUCAGUAAUCGUACUAGCCAUUCUCGAUGGCAGGUGCCACAUGCUCAGUUCUAGCAGCCUCAUUUUUCUUCCCAUCAGAAGAAAUCAUACCAAUCACAUACCUCUCGACAGUAGGCAGACCCUCACAAGCAGUGGAAAAGUCUUCAGUUUUCUCUUAACCAGCAUCUCUUGAGCAGGCGGGGAAGAUCUCUUCUUUCCCCCUUCAUUCAUAGUAAGCUUUACGACAUCGAUCAGACGAGCCAAUGCAUCUGCCUUGAUCAUUUUUACCUCCUCUUUGGGAGCAGUCCACCUUACUUCCGGCAAAGAGAACUAAGUAGCCAACGCUAUUCACGGUACUCAGCAUAGGAGAUCAACCCAGCAUUUUAGUAGGCAGAAGGUCUGCAUGCCCAACAUUCCAGCAACCCAUGAGGCCCACGACAUUCUCAUUUCUUUCAGUCACCAACCUGGCCCGAGUAAGGUCAAAGAGCCCAAAUGACAUGAGCCAUGUGGCUCCCCUAGCACUGCGCCCUAGCAUCACAAUUCGCAACCCUAGCCCCAUAAGCUGCCCUUGGCUCUAGCCAAACCGAUCAGCUUAAAGUCGUCGUCUCUGCCACAACACCUCAUCGGCCCAUGCCGAGCCGACCCCUGGCUCUUGCCAGCCGACGUGCCACACCACCCCGACAGUUGCCCCAUAACAGCACUAUCCAAGAAGAAGACAAGAAAAAUUAAAUUUUUCUUACAUCAUUGCGGCACGGAAAAGACGAAGAAAGCAACGAAAGAUGGUCAUUUGCACGGGCAAGAUGUAGAAGAUUACUAGAGGAGGGGGAAAAAUAUCAUAUAUGUUCUCUCUCUCUUGUAGGGUAGAAUACAUUGCUCUUCAAAGUUGAUUUAAUAACCCACUUAAGGUGGACUUAAAUAGGCUUUGAGAGAAAUUUAUUUUCCCUUUCCUAGAAUGACCUAAUUUCCUAUUAAAGAGAGAAUCUAUAUCAAAAUAGGAAGCAGUCCUACGUUUCCUAAAGCAAGAUGAUCUCUACACCUGCUGCCCUUUUCUGCGAGCAGCCCAACAGGUGUGGGAGCAUUUGUGGAGCCAAAAAUAUUCGCAAGGCGACACGUGGAUUUUUAGGUAAAAGAAGACAAAAAUACCCUUGAGGCAUACCGAGAUUCCUACGCGCGAGCGGCGAACAAUCAUCCUCAACCAAGUAAAAAAUGCUCCAAAAAAGGUAACAAAUUCCAAUUUAUCUCAUCUAUCCUCAUUAUAGGUAAUUACUUCAUAACCUAUAAAUUAUCCCAUAAAAAUAUAGAUUAAUUGGCUAAUUAAUUCAUUAAUCACCAAAUUAAUCACCCAUUAUACCCCAAUAAAUCACCCCAAAUCACACCAAGGGCCGGCCAUUCCCAUCCAAAAAGAGCCUAUCAUAUUCUCUACCUUUUCCACCAUUUUUCCUUUUUUUUUAACACUAAUUAGCUAGCCAAUUAAACCCAUAACCAUCAAAACAUUCAUUUAUGUUUAAAUUAGCCAAUUAAUCAUAAUAAAUUGGCUAAUUAAACCUAAACUAAACCCAAAAACUGUAGUGAUGGCCGGCCACAUCCUAUCCCUAUAAAAGUGAUCCCAUUCUCACCAAAAAGCCAUUCCAACACUUUGGCAAAAAUAUCAAAAUUCUCUAAACACUCUUUCUCUCUAAAUUCUAACUUUGGCAUCGGAGGUUCUUCGGCCAAAGUCCCCCCCCCCAAUUCAUCUUGGGCGCAUAAGGCUAUUGGCCUUAACCUAAGGUGUUACUUGUUUUGUAGGUGCAAAAUUGUCCAAAAUCAAGGAUGAAGAAAUUUGCAUCCACAAUUCCUAACUUAUUUGUAUUUAGGAUUUACACAAUUACACAAUAUUAAAUAUUAAUUACAACACUCUCUUUGAGUGUGUAAAUACUUAGUAGACACAUCAGAUUUUCAGGCAAAUAUGUAAGUUGUACGAAACUUUAGGUUUGUACUUAGUUACUAAUUGUAACGCCAAAACAGGAUUGGUGGUAAUAAGCCUUAGGCGGACCAACAUGCAUGCAUUAUUACAUAGCCCUAUGGAAAAAAAACUGGAAGCUUGGUGCACUGACUAUCAAGGUUUGUAUGAUCAUUUAAAGACGUUUAAUGAACGUUUUCAGCGAGACCAUUUGGGUGUGAACGUAGGAAUCAAAAUUUUCAACUUUUGUACCCAAGGGAAAAUGCAAUAGUUAUCGAAUUCGUCAAUAUAAACGUUUUAGCAUUAUCUAGUUUUCUGGACUCCAUGGAUAAUUGGGGUGGUGAGCCCACAACCUAAUAAUUGGUAUCAAGAGUCUAACAAGCAGCGUUGGGUGUGGACAAACAUGUGACCAAUGUGCUGAUACGUCAACCAAAACCAUAAAUUAAUUAAAUGGUCAAUAUUUUCGUUGGAUCAGCCAACAAAUAUUCUUUUGAAUCCGAUGUUGAAAGGAUGGAUGAUCUGUAAGGAUCGUUGUAGUACAUAGGCUAGUAAUUAGCUUACCUAGUAAGAAUCUUAGUUGCUGGGUUAGCAAUGAGCUUGCCCAAAAAUGAUUGAUGAUCAUGCUUGGCAAAGUACGCUUUUAGAUAUGAGGUCUUUACUAUUGGUAAGAGGACGCCCUGUAUAGUGCAUCGUUGAUCAACCUGGAUGUCCCAAGCAUUCGUGCCACAACAAAUAUUCCUUUAGAAUCCCAGACUUAUGGAUGACCACAUAGUGGACCUCUACGAUGAAUGGUUGUGAUGUACAAUGUAUAUGGGAGGCAUUCCAUCUUUUCUAGAAUACACUUCUUAUAUUCGUAGAAAGUUAUGCAAAAGAAUUAUACUCCAUUUUCUACUAUAGUUCCAGUCAUGAUCAUUAUUUUCUUGAAUAUCCUUAAAACUCAACAACGUUUUUUUUUAAUGGUGAGAAUAUAAGGCAUGUUUAUGGUAAUUCAGUACCAACCAUACAACAAUGAGCAAUUCCAAAACCCUUAAUCAGGUUGGAUAAACCUGAAUACAUCGUUAGAUGGGUGAUUUAGGUACGGAGUUAGUGAGCUUAGUAGCACAUUCAUAUAGACAACUAACUUCCCUACAUUUAUACCUAAUCACAUAUUUAGAUGAAUUCGGUCAUAUGUAUACAAGAAACACGAUUCAAUUAACUUACAUUUGAGGACAAUAUCCAUAACGUUAUCCAAACCUAAAACAAAAACCAAACUUGAAUUUGGGAACAUAGGAAUUGUUCACAAAGUAAACCAACCUUCCAUGUCAAAAUUAUCAUCCUCCA
This 8442-nucleotide long non-coding RNA is filed under the name Malus domestica (apple). RNAcentral's name for it is "long non-coding RNA (MDOM_LNC005098)". Lineage: Eukaryota; Viridiplantae; Streptophyta; Magnoliopsida; Rosales; Rosaceae. The record is from RNAcentral.